CCAGCGUCAAGGUGUCUGUGUUCUUCGGUGGUCUCUCCAUCAAGAAGGAUGAAGAAGUGUUGAAGAAGAACUGUCCCCAUGUCGUGGUGGGGACCCCGGGCCGCAUCCUGGCGCUCGUGCGGAAUAGGAGCUUCAGCCUAAAGAAUGUGAAGCACUUUGUGCUGGACGAGUGUGACAAGAUGCUGGAGCAGCUGGGCUCCCCUCCCUGAAGCGUGGCUCGAGGCGCACGGGCACGGCUGCUCCGCGCCAGCGUGUAAGUGGAUUGCAGCUCCUCCCGCGCCUGCGCUCGCUGGCCACCCCCCAGCCCCUCAGGCACCAGGACUGGCCACUCCCGCGGCUCACUCUGCCCUCGUCACGGUGCCACUGGCUCCCUGGCACAGACAUGCGGCGGGAUGUGCAGGAGAUCUUCCGCCUGACACCACACGAGAAGCAGUGCAUGAUGUUCAGCGCCACCCUGAGCAAGGACAUCCGGCCUGUGUGCAGGAAGUUCAUGCAGGAUGUGAGUAGGGCGAGAGUGGCAGCUUCAGCCUUCCCCAGGGGCCUGGAGCCUGGGGCCCCAGGACACCCGCACGGCCCACAUGGCACGGAGGAUGCUGGGAUGCUGGGAGCCGGCAGAGCCUCCUUUCCUCCCCUCGGUCUUGUCAAACUGGGAGUCAAGCUUGGUCCACACCUGAGUCGGGCCAGAGCUUACAUCCAGCUUUUGAGCGAUGUUUACUGAGGUCUGGUGCAGCAGGUCCUCUGGGAAGUGUCGCACAAAGGAGUCGCCCACUGGAAGGUUCUGGGCAGGCGAGAUGCCCAGAGGUGAUACCUGCCCGCCCCUCCCACCUCCCUUCCCACACAGCCCAUGGAGGUGUUUGUGGACGACGAGACCAAGCUCACGCUGCACGGCCUGCAGCAGUACUACGUCAAACUCAAAGACAGUGAGAAGAACCGCAAGCUCUUUGAUCUCUUGGAUGUGCUGGAGUUUAACCAGGUGAUAAUCUUCGUCAAGUCAGUGCAGCGCUGCAUGGCCCUGGCCCAGCUCCUCGUGGAGCAGAACUUCCCGGCCAUCGCCAUCCACCGGGGCAUGGCCCAGGAGGA
This 1080-nucleotide small RNA is filed under the name Pan troglodytes (chimpanzee). Its description in RNAcentral is "retained intron". The record is from RNAcentral. Lineage: Eukaryota; Metazoa; Chordata; Mammalia; Primates; Hominidae.